RNAcentral lists this ribosomal RNA (497 nucleotides) under uncultured bacterium. RNAcentral's name for it is "partial 16S ribosomal RNA". It matches the Rfam family "Bacterial small subunit ribosomal RNA", at positions 28 to 507 of the family's 1533-position model. The record is from RNAcentral.
GAUGAACGCUGGCGGCGUGCCUAAUACAUGCAAGUCGAGCGAACAGACGAGGAGCUUGCUCCUCUGACGUUAGCUGCGGACGGGUGAGUAACACGUGGCUAACCUACCUAUAAGACUGGGAUAACUUCGGGAAACCGGCGCUAAUACCGGAUAAUAUAUUGAACCGCAUGGUUCAAUAGUGAAAGACGGUUUUGCUGUCACUUAUAGAUGGAUCCGCGCCGCAUUAGCUAGUUGGUAAGGUAACGGCUUACCAAGGCAACGAUGCGUAGCCGACCUGAGAGGGUGAUCGGCCACACUGGAACUGAGACACGGUCCAGACUCCUACGGGAGGCAGCAGUAGGGAAUCUUCAGCAAUGGGCGAAAGCCUGACGGAGCAACGCCGCGUGCGUGAUGAAGGUCUUCGGAUCGUAAAACUCUGUUAGUAGGGAAGAACAAAUGUGUAAGUAACUAUGCACGUCUUGACGGUACCUAAUCAGAAAGCCACGGCUAACUACGUG